RNAcentral lists this ribosomal RNA (449 nucleotides) under uncultured bacterium. RNAcentral describes it as "partial 16S ribosomal RNA". It matches the Rfam family "Bacterial small subunit ribosomal RNA", at positions 29 to 523 of the family's 1533-position model. The record is from RNAcentral.
AACGAACGCUGGCGGCAUGCCUAACACAUGCAAGUCGAACGAAGGCUUCGGCCUUAGUGGCGCACGGGUGCGUAACGCGUGGGAAUCUGCCCUUGGGUUCGGAAUAACAGUGGGAAACCGCUGCUAAUACCGGAUGAUGACGUAAGUCCAAAGAUUUAUCGCCCAAGGAUGAGCCCGCGUAGGAUUAGCUAGUUGGUGGGGUAAUGGCCCACCAAGGCGACGAUCCUUAGCUGGUCUGAGAGGAUGAUCAGCCACACUGGGACUGAGACACGGCCCAGACUCCUACGGGAGGCAGCAGUGGGGAAUAUUGGACAAUGGGCGAAAGCCUGAUCCAGCAAUGCCGCGUGAGUGAUGAAGGCCUUAGGGUUGUAAAGCUCUUUUACCCGGGAUGAUAAUGACAGUACCGGGAGAAUAAGCUCCGGCUAACUCCGUGCCAGCCGCCGCAGUAA